GUUUGGUCCCAGCUUUAAACUCAACUACUACUCAACUUACACAUGCAAGUAUCCGCCCACCCGUGAAAACACCCUUACCCCUCACACAGGAAAAGGAGCCGGUAUCAGGCACAAUAAUAACGCCCAUGACACCUAGCCACGCCACACCCCCAAGGGCACUCAGCAGUGAUAAACAUUGCUCAUUAGCGCCAGCUUGACUCAGUCAAAGUAAAUAGGGCCGGCCAAUUCGGUGCCAGCCGCCGCGGCUAUCCCGCUUGGCUCAAGUUGACCUUAUCGGCGUUGAGCGUGGUUAAAGUACCCCCCCCCCCCUAGAGUUAAACCACAACCAAGUUGUAAUACACUUGUUUAUAAGAAACCCCUAAACGAAAGCUACUCUACCCCCACCUUGAACCCACGACAGCUGGAAUACAAACUGGGAUCAGAUACCCCACUAUGCCCAACCGUAAAAUAUCUACUCACACUAACAACCGCCCGGGAAUUACAAGACCCUUAAAACCCAAAGGACUUGACGGUGUCCCACCCACCUAGAGGAGCCUGUUCUAUCAUCGACACCCCACGAUCUACCUCACCACUCCUAGCACACUCAGUCUGUAUACCUCCGUCGUAAGCCUACCAUGUGAACGUCACAGUGGGCCAAAAGAUUCUCCACCCACACGUCAGGUCAAGGUGCAACUAACGGAACGGAAAGCAAUGGGCUACAAUUUCUAUCAUAGAACACACGAAAAACCAAAUGAAAUGCAGUCACGAAGGCGGAUUUAGAAGUAAAAAGAAAUCAGAAAACUCUUUUUAAUUAGGCCCUGGGACGCGUACACACCGCCCGUCACCCUCCUCAACAUACAUAGAGAGGAGGCAAGUCGUAACAUGGUAAGUGUACUGGAAAGUGCACUUGGACAAUCAAAAUGUAGCUUAACUAAAGCAUCUUGCUUACACCAAGAUAGACGUUGAUAAACCUCAACCAUUUUGAGCCUAAAUCUUAGCCCCCCCCUCCUACCCACACUUCUAUAAACAAAUAAAACAUUUUUUUAUCUAGUAAAGGCGAUUAAAAAAUACAUCGGAGCUAUAAAAACAGUACCGCAAGGGAAACAUGAAAUAAAAUGAAAACUCAAAGCAAAUUAAAGCAAAGUUUAACUCUUGUACCUUUUGCAUCAUGAUCUAGCCAGUUUAACCAGGCAAAACGCACCUAAAGUUUGACACCCCGAAACUAGACGAGCUACUUUAAAACAGCCCACGGGGCAAACUCAUCCCUAUUGCAAAACGGUGAGAAGAUUUUAAAGUAGAGGUGACACACCUACCGAGCCUAGAGAUAGCUGGUUAUUCAAAAAACGGAUAUAAGUCCAACUUUAAGUUUUUUUAGUCUACUAAACAAUUAUCAAACUUAAAAGCCAUUCAAAUAAGGUACAGCCUAUUUGAAUAAGGAAACAACCUACAAUAUAGGGUAAUAAUUAACAAGCAUGACCAAGUAGGCCUAAAAGCAGCCACCUCCAAAAGCGUCCAAGCUUCCUCAUAAACUAUAUUUUAUCCCACUAUUAACCCCCAACCCUUAAACCCCCACUGAAUGACCCCAUACCCAUAUGGAAGACAUCAUGCUAGAACUAGUAACAAGAAGACGAACUUCUCCAAAAUGCAAGCGUAGGCCAAAAUAAACUUCUUGCCGGCAUUUACCACUAUAACAGUACAUUUUCACAAGAAAACUCUACUAACACAAGCGCUAACCUAACACCAGAGCAUUACUGGAAAGAUUAAAAGGAGGGGAAGGAACUCGGCAAACCCCAGCCCCGCCUGUUUACCAAAAACAUCGCCUCUUGAAAGUAUAAGAGGUCUAGCCUGCCCAGUGACUAAUAGUUAAACGGCCGCGGUACCCUAACCGUGCAAAGGUAGCACAAUCACUUGUUCUCUAAAUCAGGACUAGUAUGAACGGCCCAACGAGAGCUAUGCUGUCUCCCCCCCCUAAUCAGUGAAACUGAUCCCCUCGUGAAGAAGCGAGGAUGCCCCAAUAAGACGAGAAGACCCCAUGGAACUUUAAACUAGUACCACCCCUUACACUAAGGCCACUUGACUACUAGUCUUUCGGCUGGGGCGACCACGGAGAAAAAUAAAACCCCCGAGAUGAAAGGAAAUAUCCUUAUCCCAGAACUACUAUUCAAAGAAUCAAUAAAUGACAUAAUUGACCCAAUACUUGAUCAACGAACCAAGCUACCCUGGGGAUAACAGCGCAAUCCAUUUCAAGAGACCUCAUCGACAAAUGGGCUUACGACCUCGAUGUUGGAUCAGGGUAUCCUAGUGGUGCAACCGCUA
Molecule: non-coding RNA, 2295 nt
Filed under: Stumpffia pygmaea (Andoany stump-toed frog)
Lineage: Eukaryota; Metazoa; Chordata; Amphibia; Anura; Microhylidae
Description: partial contains 12S ribosomal RNA, tRNA-Val, and 16S ribosomal RNA
Rfam family: Bacterial large subunit ribosomal RNA (bases 1116-1963)
Source: RNAcentral